Molecule: ribosomal RNA, 426 nt
Filed under: uncultured bacterium
Lineage: Bacteria
Description: partial 16S ribosomal RNA
Rfam family: Bacterial small subunit ribosomal RNA
Source: RNAcentral
GUGGGGAAUAUUGCGCAAUGGGGGAAACCCUGACGCAGCAACGCCGCGUGAGUGAUGAAGGCUUUCGAGUCGUAAAACUCUGUCUUUGGGGACGAAUAAUGACGGUACCCAAGGAGGAAGCCCCGGCUAACUACGUGCCAGCAGCCGCGGUAAUACGUAGGGGGCAAGCGUUGUCCGGAAUCACUGGGCGUAAAGGGCGCGUAGGCGGUUUGUUAAGUCAGGUGUGAAAGUUUUCAGCUUAACUGGAAAAGUGCACUUGAAACUAACUUACUUGAGUACUGGAGAGGUAAGCGGAAUUCCUAGUGUAGCGGUGAAAUGCGUAGAUAUUAGGAAGAACACCGGUGGCGAAGGCGGCUUACUGGACAGAGACUGACGCUGAGGCGCGAAAGCGUGGGGAGCGAACAGGAUUAGAAACCCUGGUAGUCC